RNAcentral lists this transfer RNA (87 nucleotides) under Cordylochernes scorpioides. RNAcentral's name for it is "tRNA-Tyr". The record is from RNAcentral. Lineage: Eukaryota; Metazoa; Arthropoda; Arachnida; Pseudoscorpiones; Chernetidae.
UCCCUCGAGCCGGAUUUGAACCAGCGACCUAAGGAUCACCGUUGUAACAUCUACAGUCCUCUGCUCUGCCAACUGAGCUAUCGAGGG